Molecule: transfer RNA, 74 nt
Filed under: Bacteroidales bacterium
Lineage: Bacteria; Pseudomonadati; Bacteroidota; Bacteroidia; Bacteroidales
Description: tRNA-Arg
Rfam family: tRNA
About the family: Transfer RNA (tRNA) molecules are approximately 80 nucleotides in length. Their secondary structure includes four short double-helical elements and three loops (D, anti-codon, and T loops).
Source: RNAcentral
GGCUCGGUAGCUCAGUUGAAUAGAGCGUCAGAUUCCGGUUCUGCAGGUCGUGGGUUUGAGCCCCACCCGAGUCA